RNAcentral lists this ribosomal RNA (482 nucleotides) under uncultured bacterium. Its description in RNAcentral is "bacterial SSU rRNA". It matches the Rfam family "Bacterial small subunit ribosomal RNA", at positions 30 to 506 of the family's 1533-position model. The record is from RNAcentral.
UUGAACGCUGGCGGAAUGCUUUACACAUGCAAGUCGAACGGCAGCACGGGGGCAACCUUGGUGGCGAGUGGCGAACGGGUGAGUAAUGUAUCGGAACGUACCUAGUCGUGGGGGAUAACUAUCCGAAAGGAUAGCUAAUACCGCAUACGUCCUGAGGGAGAAAGCGGGGGAUCGCAAGACCUCGCGCGAUUGGAGCGGCCGAUAUCAGAUUAGCUAGUUGGUGGGGUAAAAGCUCACCAAGGCGACGAUCUGUAGCUGGUCUGAGAGGACGACCAGCCACACUGGAACUGAGACACGGUCCAGACUCCUACGGGAGGCAGCAGUGGGGAAUUUUGGACAAUGGGCGCAAGCCUGAUCCAGCAAUGCCGCGUGCAGGAUGAAGGCCUUCGGGUUGUAAACUGCUUUUGUACGGAACGAAACGGUUCUCUUUAAUAAAGAGGGCUAAUGACGGUACCGUAAGAAUAAGCACCGGCUAACUACGU